GAUAACCUGGGGAAACCCAGGCUAAUACCGCAUACGUCCUACGGGAGAAAGGGGGCUCCGGCUCCCGCUAUGGGAUGAGCCUAUGUCGGAUUAGCUAGUUGGUGAGGUAACGGCUCACCAAGGCCGCGAUCCGUAGCUGGUCUGAGAGGAUGAUCAGCCACAUCGGGACUGAGACACGGCCCGAACUCCUACGGGAGGCAGCAGUGGGGAAUAUUGGACAAUGGGGGAAACCCUGAUCCAGCCAUGCCGCGUGUGUGAAGAAGGCCCUCGGGUUGUAAAGCACUUUCAGCGAGGAAGAACGCCUAGCGGUUAAUACCCGCUAGGAAAGACAUCACUCGCAGAAGAAGCACCGGCUAACUCCGUGCCAGCAGCCGCGGUAAUACGGAGGGUGCAAGCGUUAAUCGGAAUUACUGGGCGUAAAGCGCGCGUAG
This 431-nucleotide ribosomal RNA is filed under the name Vreelandella aquamarina. RNAcentral's name for it is "bacterial SSU rRNA". It matches the Rfam family "Bacterial small subunit ribosomal RNA", at positions 142 to 574 of the family's 1533-position model. Lineage: Bacteria; Pseudomonadati; Pseudomonadota; Gammaproteobacteria; Oceanospirillales; Halomonadaceae. The record is from RNAcentral.